AUGGAAACACCGCGAGAACAUAUUCGCGUCUGUAUCACAGGAACGCAGAAGUGCAUACAUAAAGUCUCUGAACUUCGGCGAGCGUCAUCUUCUUCGGCUCCUACUCUGACUGAUAUUGGUUUAAGUUGGCGUUCAUCUAUUGGCGAUUGGGAAGGUUCAAUACAUUUUAGCCAAGGUUUGGUGGUGGCAACGGAAGCAAAUUCGCCGGAAAUCACAUAA
This is a non-coding RNA of Vicia faba (fava bean), 219 nucleotides long. The record is from the annotation of a GenBank genome assembly. Lineage: Eukaryota; Viridiplantae; Streptophyta; Magnoliopsida; Fabales; Fabaceae.